This 350-nucleotide ribosomal RNA is filed under the name uncultured bacterium. RNAcentral's name for it is "bacterial SSU rRNA". It matches the Rfam family "Bacterial small subunit ribosomal RNA", at positions 917 to 1267 of the family's 1533-position model. The record is from RNAcentral.
GGACCCGCACAAGCGGUGGAGCAUGUGGUUUAAUUCGAAGCAACGCGAAGAACCUUACCAACUCUUGACAUCCCCCUGACCGGUACAGAGAUGUACCUUCCCCUUCGGGGGCAGGGGUGACAGGUGGUGCAUGGUUGUCGUCAGCUCGUGUCGUGAGAUGUUGGUUAAGUCCCGCAACGAGCGCAACCCUUGUCCUUAGUUGCCAGCAUUUAGUUGGGCACUCUAGGGAGACUGCCGGUGACAAACCGGAGGAAGGUGGGGAUGACGUCAAAUCAUCAUGGCCCUUACGGCCUGGGCUACACACGUGCUACAAUGGCUAGGACAGACGGCCGCAAACCCGCGAGGGGGAG